AUUGAACGCUGGCGGCAUGCCUUACCCAUGCAAGUCGAACGGUAACAGGUCUUCGGAUGCUGACGAGUGGCGAACGGGUGAGUAAUACAUCGGAACGUGCCCAGACGUGGGGGAUAACGAGGCGAAAGCUUUGCUAAUACCGCAUACGAUCUAAGGAUGAAAGCAGGGGACCGCAAGGCCUUGCGCGUUUGGAGCGGCCGAUGGCAGAUUAGGUAGUUGGUGGGAUAAAAGCUUACCAAGCCGACGAUCUGUAGCUGGUCUGAGAGGACGACCAGCCACACUGGGACUGAGACACGGCCCAGACUCCUACGGGAGGCAGCAGUGGGGAAUUUUGGACAAUGGGCGAAAGCCUGAUCCAGCAAUGCCGCGUGCAGGAUGAAGGCCUUCGGGUUGUAAACUGCUUUUGUACGGAACGAAAAGGCUCUGGUUAAUACCUGGGGCACAUGACGGUACCGUAAGAAUAAGCACCGGCUAACUACGUGCCAGCAGCCGCGGUAAUACGUAGGGUGCGAGCGUUAAUCGGAAUUACUGGGCGUAAAGCGUGCGCAGGCGGUUUUGUAAGACAGAGGUGAAAUCCCCGGGCUCAACCUGGGAACUGCCUUUGUGACUGCAAAGCUGGAGUGCGGCAGAGGGGGAUGGAAUUCCGCGUGUAGCAGUGAAAUGCGUAGAUAUGCGGAGGAACACCGAUGGCGAAGGCAAUCCCCUGGGCCUGCACUGACGCUCAUGCACGAAAGCGUGGGGAGCAAACAGG
This 751-nucleotide ribosomal RNA is filed under the name uncultured Comamonadaceae bacterium. RNAcentral's name for it is "bacterial SSU rRNA". It matches the Rfam family "Bacterial small subunit ribosomal RNA", at positions 28 to 776 of the family's 1533-position model. The record is from RNAcentral. Lineage: Bacteria; Pseudomonadati; Pseudomonadota; Betaproteobacteria; Burkholderiales; Comamonadaceae.